AUGAACGCUGGCGGCGUGCCUAAUACAUGCAAGUCGAGCGAACAGACGAGGAGCUUGCUCCUCUGACGUUAGCGGCGGACGGGUGAGUAACACGUGGAUAACCUACCUAUAAGACUGGGAUAACUUCGGGAAACCGGAGCUAAUACCGGAUAAUAUAUUGAACCGCAUGGUUCAAUAGUGAAAGACGGUUUUGCUGUCACUUAUAGAUGGAUCCGCGCCGCAUUAGCUAGUUGGUAAGGUAACGGCUUACCAAGGCAACGAUGCGUAGCCGACCUGAGAGGGUGAUCGGCCACACUGGAACUGAGAAACGGUCCAGACUCCUACGGGAGGCAGCAGUAGGGAAUCUUCCGCAAUGGGCGGAAGCCUGACGGAGCAACGCCGCGUGAGUGAUGAAGGUCUUCGGAUCGUAAAACUCUGUUAUUAGGGAAGAACAAAUGUGUAAGUAACUAUGCACGUCUUGACGGUACCUAAUCAGAAAGCCACGGCUAACUACGUG
This 496-nucleotide ribosomal RNA is filed under the name uncultured bacterium. RNAcentral describes it as "partial 16S ribosomal RNA". It matches the Rfam family "Bacterial small subunit ribosomal RNA", at positions 29 to 507 of the family's 1533-position model. The record is from RNAcentral.